RNAcentral lists this ribosomal RNA (253 nucleotides) under uncultured bacterium. Its description in RNAcentral is "partial 16S ribosomal RNA". It matches the Rfam family "Bacterial small subunit ribosomal RNA", at positions 524 to 776 of the family's 1533-position model. The record is from RNAcentral.
UACGAAGGGUGCAAGCGUUAUCCGGAUUCAUUGGGUUUAAAGGGUGCGUAGGCGGAGCGCUAAGUCAGUGGUGAAAUCCUGCAGCUUAACUGUAGACUUGCCAUUGAUACUGGCGUUCUUGAGUGCGCUUGAAGUAGGCGGAAUGUGCCGUGUAGCGGUGAAAUGCUUAGAUAUGGCACAGAACACCAAUUGCGAAGGCAGCUUACUAAGGCGAUACUGACGCUGAGGCACGAAAGCGUGGGGAGCGAACAGG